This 253-nucleotide ribosomal RNA is filed under the name uncultured bacterium. Its description in RNAcentral is "partial 16S ribosomal RNA". It matches the Rfam family "Bacterial small subunit ribosomal RNA", at positions 524 to 776 of the family's 1533-position model. The record is from RNAcentral.
GACAGAGGGUGCAAACGUUGUUCGGAAUUACUGGGCGUAAAGGGCGCGUAGGCGGCUUUGUAAGUCCGUUGUGAAAUCCCUCGGCUCAACCGAGGAACUGCGACGGAUACUGCUUGGCUUGAGUCCCGGAGAGGGUAGCGGAAUUCCCAGUGUAGCGGUGAAAUGCGUAGAGAUGUGGAGGAACACCGAUGGCGAAGGCAGCCCCCUGGGUCAAGAUUGACGCUCAUGCACGAAAGCGUGGGGAGCAAACAGG